Long non-coding RNA from Lathyrus oleraceus (garden pea), 755 nucleotides. RefSeq lists it as uncharacterized. Lineage: Eukaryota; Viridiplantae; Streptophyta; Magnoliopsida; Fabales; Fabaceae. The transcript has 3 exons. The record is from RefSeq and is a predicted model, not a curated record.
UUUUUGAGGACACCUUCAACGAAUCAGGAGGUGGAUCGUUCCCUUCGCACCGCCAAAACUGAACCGAAGCGCUUCUCCAUCCACGCUUUAUGCUUCUCGCUCUCACAACUCAACGCGCAGACAAAACCAGACCUAGCUCGCCGCUCGUCGUCUUUGCCACACUCGAAAUCGAUCAAAGGAGAAGCCAAAUAACAGGUUACGAUGGAGUCAAGAAGAACUCACCUUAUUCGAACUCUGUGAACUUUUGGAUUUCUGGAUCUUGAGUGAAGAUCUUUGUGGCGAGGAUGAAGAGGGAGCUUUGGUGCAGAAGGAGAAACUUCUCAGAUGGAGAUGCAGAAUGAAGAACUGAUGCAGAACGAUUAAUAGGAAUUGUUGUAGAAUGAUCAAGUUUUGGAUGCGGAAUGACGAAAACGAAUUGCAGGAUGAAGAAGCAAAAAUGAGCCUUUUUCUGUGAUGGAAUGAAAAGGUUGUUGCUAUUAAAUAGUCUUGUCGAGGAAGUGAAGGUUUGAUAUAGUCAUGGUUCAUGGAUGAAGGUUUGGCAAAUCAUGGCGGUUGUGACAAAACUUGAAGACUUUGGGUUAGCUUGGAAUUGGAUUGGUGCUUUUUGAUAAUGUCAUAUUGUAAUUUGAUAUAUGUACUUGAUUUAAUGGAAAUGGGAUUAUGAUAUGAGAUUAUAAUGAAUUGGGUUAUUGAAUUGUAUUGAAUUUUGAAUUUGUUAUGGCAAGGUUUUAAUAAAAAUUAUACUCUUUGAAUGA